UACGAAGGGUGCGAGCGUUGUUCGGAAUUACUGGGCGUAAAGGGUUCGUAGGCGGGAAUGUAAGUUGGAUGUGAAAACCCCGGGCUUAACCUGGGAACUGCGUUUGUGACUGUAUGACUAGAGUACGGUAGAGAGGGGUGGAAUUCCUGGUGUAGCAGUGAAAUGCGUAGAUAUCAGGAGGAACAUCGAUGGCGAAGGCAGCCCCUUGGACCUGUACUGACGCUCAUGCACGAAAGCGUGGGGAGCAAACAGG
RNAcentral lists this ribosomal RNA (253 nucleotides) under uncultured bacterium. RNAcentral's name for it is "partial 16S ribosomal RNA". It matches the Rfam family "Bacterial small subunit ribosomal RNA", at positions 524 to 776 of the family's 1533-position model. The record is from RNAcentral.